Molecule: ribosomal RNA, 254 nt
Filed under: uncultured bacterium
Lineage: Bacteria
Description: partial 16S ribosomal RNA
Rfam family: Bacterial small subunit ribosomal RNA
Source: RNAcentral
CUGGAAGAUGACGAGUGGCGGACGGGUGCGUAACGCGUAUGCAACUUACCUCUAACCAGGGCAUAGCCCCGUGAAAACGGGAUUAAUACCCUAUAGUACCUCGAGACGACAUCGUUUCUUGGUUAAAGUUUUUAACGGUUAGAGAUGGGCAUGCGUCCCAUUAGGUAGUUGGUGAGGUAACGGCUCACCAAGCCUGCGAUGGGUAGGGGGCCUGAGAGGGUUAUCCCCCACACUGGUACUGAGACACGGACCAG